UAUGACAUGUGAAAUCAUUAAAUAUUUUGCUUCUCUCAUUUCACUUUUUUCCUUUAUUAAAAUCUCCAACGAUUUUUUAAAAACUUAUUACGACUUUACCUUUAAGUUUCUUCAACGCCGCUUCAUGACGGUUACCAAAAGGAGUCAUCGAACUUAAAUUAUCUCUAUUAUAUAAGUGAAUAGCUGAGGUUAUUUUCGGAAAAUCACUUUUGGUGUGCCCCUGGGAAUAGCCCAUUAAACCCUUCGUAAUUGAAAAGUAAAUUAUUAAAAAAAACGGCUAUCCUAAUUAAUCAACUUUCGAAUCUCCGCAAACCCAAUCUCUCUCUCCUUAGAAAACCCUCAAUCUCUCUCUCCUCCAUACCCAACAGCACGGUUGAUCUCAGAAGCUCUGAUUUUAGGGUGGUAUUUGUGGAGCCAGAACGCGGCGGUAUAAAACCUUUUUUGUCGGAUUUACCAGUGCCACGAACGCCACGGAGGUUGCAGAUGAGUUUGAGGGUGGUCAACGGGUUGUGGGCCAAAGCCAGAUUGAGGCGUUCGGUGAGAGACUCGGCAGGGGUGUCGGGGACGACUUGGAAGAAGAGGUCUAGACACGGGUUUCAAGGUGGUGAGAAAGGUGGUGGAGCCGUUUUCAGUGAAGCCCAUUAAUGUUGGUUGUGGAGUAUAUGGGUGUUGAAAUUCACCACCAUGAGAUCCAAGGAUAGGUCGCCAGAUGGGUGGUAAUGGCGGCGAAGGUGGUGGAAGAUGGUGGUGGGGUUGAGAGUUGUGGUGGGCCAGAGAGGAAUGGUGCCAUUGUAAUUUGUAAUACAGGAAAAGUGGUGCAAUUUUGCCUAAUAUCAACACCUCUACUCCAACUUUUAGGGUGGUGUUUCUAGAUCUCAUGGUGGCGAUUACCUCAAACCUUUCUGCACAAAAUAAUCAAAGUUGAACACUCGAAGUCUCGAACAGUCGAACCCAGACGCUUUCAGAGUGGCUACUCUGAUCAACAGCCCCGACAAGUAAUUUCAACCUAAAAUCCAUUCACAAAUUCACCCCUAGUUGCAGAAACUAAUGUUGUUCAAUUAAAAAUUUACAAUGUCGCAAGUUGAAAUUAUAGCCAAAAGUUUCAAAGACAUGGUUGCAUCUUUGCCUGCCGUCAAGAUCGAUAUGCUUUACGCUAACCCCUUCAUAUGUGAAGCCAUUCUCAGGUUCGAUUAAGGAGCUCAAGUGCUCAAGUCAAAGAUGUUACUGGAGUCAGUAAUUCAUUUUGGAGAUAUUGAGAUGAGAAAUUAUUUAUUAUGGAAAUUCGGUUAUUGAGAUUAUUAUAAGAGUAUUGACUUAUAUUUAUUUUGGGAAUAUUGUAUUAUUUGUGGAAUGUUAUUGAGGAUUAUUUUAUUUGUGGGCCCAUACCCACAGGUCCCAAGAUUA
Long non-coding RNA from Spinacia oleracea (spinach), 1404 nucleotides. RefSeq lists it as uncharacterized. The record is from RefSeq and is a predicted model, not a curated record. NCBI's taxonomy places the organism in Eukaryota, Viridiplantae, Streptophyta, Magnoliopsida, Caryophyllales, Amaranthaceae. The transcript has 2 exons.